This is a long non-coding RNA of Bombus pascuorum, 434 nucleotides long. RefSeq lists it as uncharacterized. The transcript has 2 exons. NCBI's taxonomy places the organism in Eukaryota, Metazoa, Arthropoda, Insecta, Hymenoptera, Apidae. The record is from RefSeq and is a predicted model, not a curated record.
UAAAUAGAAUUUUAUAUAUCCGUUACAUUAUUAAUCUACUUUGAUCCUCUUCAUUAAAUAUCCAAUACCAUUAAUACAUACAUUAAAUACAUAAAAAAGAAGAAAUCAAAAGGGGGAAAAUAAAAUAAAAGAUCAAACGUAUCUAUAAAAAUGUCAUUUUGUAAAUUUGAAAUGUAGGAAACGAGUUUCUACGAAUUUACGAGAACGUAAUCCGCGUCGAUGCGGGGUAGCUGGUCGGGGAGGGUCGCGUUCUUAGAUGGUACCCCUUGGCACCGCUGCCCUCGCUACGCAGCGGUACCAGCUGGUACCGGCUCUUUCGCUCGUUUCAACCCUCCCUCUACUCUCCACCAACACGAAUGUGCACAAUUUACUGGUUCUGUGCUUUCACCUGUUCGAUCGAAGGUUUGUCAAAUAUAGAUAAUAUAGAUAAUCGA